UGGCACUAUUACUCUUUUGACUUAGUCAUGCGAACGAAAGUAACUAUAUCGGUGUAGUUUCGAAGAAACCGGUAUUUGCAUUUCAAUAAUGGUUAUUCGUACUUAUGGCUGCUCGUGUCACAUUACACGUAAUAAUUCUUUUAAAAGUAUGCAAAUAGCACUACGUGUUACACGAAAACCACGAAACAUAGAUAAAUACCAUAAACACAUUCUUUAUAUUCUAACUAUACUAAUUGUAACGCCUUUAUAUGCAUACGGUUCAGAAAUACAUAGCAAGAAAUACAUAGCAAGAAAAAGAGAUGCAAUGCAACCGAAAACUUUACUUAUGUAGCAGCUCGUUACAAAGAUAUUGUGUUACGAUAAUUAUAAAUUAUUUAGAAGAAGUAGUCUACAAUACGUACCUAUAAACUAUAUACGUCAUCGUUGGAUUGUUGGCAGAAUAGAAAAUUGGUAAAACGAAAGUAAUGCGUUUGACCGUGCGCUCUCCAGUGAAUGGCACGUUUCAGCGCGGUUACGAACCGAUUAAUCCAUGCUCGUGCAUCAUUAGUGAGAACGCAAUGAUGGUUUGAGCAACAUUAAAAGCCUGCAACGCGAAACGGUAUUCGUCGAUGCCGUCGAUCUACACCAACACGGACCAUUUUUUACUCUGGCAUAUCAGCCACUCAAAGCGUACGUACGCGCCGAUGGAUAAAUCAAUAAACCAAUAGCUAUGGUAAUGCACACCUGCUUUUAAAGUAUCAGCCAACC
Long non-coding RNA from Bombus pyrosoma, 747 nucleotides. RefSeq lists it as uncharacterized. The transcript has 4 exons. The record is from RefSeq and is a predicted model, not a curated record. Lineage: Eukaryota; Metazoa; Arthropoda; Insecta; Hymenoptera; Apidae.